This 505-nucleotide unclassified non-coding RNA is filed under the name Hevea brasiliensis (rubber tree). The record is from RNAcentral. Lineage: Eukaryota; Viridiplantae; Streptophyta; Magnoliopsida; Malpighiales; Euphorbiaceae.
AGAAAAAUUACAUUCAGAAUCGAGUAGUUUAACACUACAAGUAGAUAAUAAAUUCAUUAAGCAGGAAAAUUAUGCAUAUUAAAUCCAAUGCAGUGAGUCAAUCUCAAUAUCCACAUAAUUUAUACAAUUCAGUGAUCUGACAAAAGAACUUUUCAGCAAAAAUCGUAAUCAUGAUUUAUAGUGCCAGGGUUAAACAAAGAAUCACAAAGAUCUCAUUAGGAGAAUACCAUAGCAUGAAUUACAAAAGAAUUCAACUACUAAAAAAUUUAAGGAAAGUUAAUAUGUUGGAGCAGUGAGAAAUAUUUCAGAUUUGCUGAUAGGCAAUGCAGAUCACAGCAACAGCAUCAUGUAGUACCAAAUUUAUCCAUUAAAAAAAGAUAAAUCCGUGCAUCAGUAUCACUAAGAAGUUAAAACCAAGGAGAUUCAAGGAAUAGAAGAUCUACAAAUAUCACAAUCUCUAAAUGCUAAAUCAGGAUAUUAAAUACCUGUAGAAGUCUCCAUGGAG